GUAGGGAAUAUUGCGCAAUGGGGGAAACCCUGACGCAGCGACGCCGCGUGAGUGAUGAAGGCCUUCGGGUCGUAAAGCUCUGUUGCAGGGGAAUAAAAAAAUGAAGGUACCCUGUGAGGAAGGAUCGGCUAACUUCGUGCCAGCAGCCGCGGUAAGACGAGGGAUCCUAGCGUGGCUCGGAAUCAUUGGGCGUAAAGAGGGCGUAGGUGGCUUGGUAAGUCAGGUGUGAAAGCCCAGGGCUCAACCCUGGAAGUGCAUUUGAUACUGCUGAGCUUGAGUGUCGGAGAGGUUACCGGAAUACCUGGUGUAGUGGUGAAAUACGUAGAUAUCAGGUGGAACACCGGAGGCGAAGGCGGGUAACUGGACGAACACUGACACUGAGGCCCGAAAGCGUGGGGAUCAAACAGGAUUAGAUACCCUAGUAGUCC
RNAcentral lists this ribosomal RNA (428 nucleotides) under uncultured bacterium. RNAcentral describes it as "partial 16S ribosomal RNA". It matches the Rfam family "Bacterial small subunit ribosomal RNA", at positions 354 to 796 of the family's 1533-position model. The record is from RNAcentral.